CAUUGUUUAAUUCUUGAGUUCCACAAUAGAAGUCUAUGCAAUUUACAAAGGUUUUGAUGAGCAUUGUUUAAUUCUUGAGUUCCACAUUACAAGUAGUCUUCGCUAUUUAGCAAAGCUUUCAUGAGUAUUGCUUAUAUAUUGAGUUCUACAAUAAAAGUCUAUGUAAUUUAAGCAAACCUUUGAUGAGCAUUCUUUCAUUCUUGAGUUCCACAUUAGAAGUCUACGCAAUUUUGCAAAUCUUUGAUGAGUAUUAUUUAAUUCUACAGUUCCAUAAUAGAUGUAGAUUUCGCAAUUUAGCAAAGCUAUUAUGAGCAUAGUUUAAUUCUUAAGUUCCACAAUAGAUGUCUAUGCAAUUUAAGCAAAGCUUUGUUGAGCAUUGUUUCAUUCUUGGGCUCUACGUUGCAAGUCUAUGCAAUUUCGCAAAGCACUAAUGAGCAUUGUUUAAUUCUUGAGUUCCAUAAUAUAAUUAGUCUUUGCAAUUUAGCAAAGCUUUGAUGAGCAUGUUUAAUUCUUGAGUUCCACAAUCGUAUAUGCAAUUUAAGCAAAGCUUUGAUGAGCAUUGUUUGAUACUUGAGUUCCACAUUAGAAGUCAAUGCAAUUUAGCAAAGCUUUGAUGAGCAUUGUUUAUUUACAGAGUUCCACAAUAAAAGAAAUCUUCGCAAUUUAGCAAAGGUUUGAUGAGCAUUGUUUAAAUCUUUAUUUCCAAAAUAGAAGUCUAAGCAAUUUAAGAAAAGAUUUGAUGAGCAUUGUUUCAUUCUUGAGUUCUACAUUAGAAGUCUAUGCAAUUUUGGAAAGUUUCGAUGAGCAACGUUUAAUUCUUGAGUUCCACAAUAAAAGUAGUCUUCGCAAUUUAGCAAAGCUUUGAUGAGCAAUGUUAAAUUCUUAUGUUCCACAAUAGAAGUCUAUGCAAUUUAAGCAAAGCUUUGAUGAACAUUGUUUCAUUCUUUAGUUCCACAUUAGAAGACUAUGCAACUUAGCAAAGCUUUGAUGUGUAUUGGUUAAUUGUUGAGCUCCAUAGUAGAAGUAGUCUUCGCAAUUUAGCAAAGCUUUAAUCAGCAUUGUUUAAUUCUUAAGUUCCACAAUUGAUGUGGUGUUUUAAGUUUAGCAAAGCUUUUAUGAGCAUUGUUUAAUUCUUGAGUUCCACAAUAGAAGUCUAUGCAAUUUACAAAGGUUUUGAUGAGCAUUGUUUAAUUCUUGAGUUCCACAUUACAAGUAGUCUGCGCUAUUUAGCAAAGCUUUCAUGAGUAUUGUUUAUAUAUUGAGUUCCACAAUAAAAGUCUAUGCAAUUUAAGCAAACCUUUGAUGAGCAUUCUUUCAUUCUUGAGUUCCACAUUAGAAGUCUACGCAAUUUUGCAAAUCUUUGAUGAGUAUUGUUUAAUUCUAGAGUUCCAUAAUAGAUGUAGCCUUCGCAAUUUAGCAAAGCUAUUAUGAGCAUCGUUUAAUUCUUAAGUUCCACAAUAGAAGUCUAUGUAAUUUAAGCAAAGCUUUGUUGAGCAUUGUUUCAUUCUUGGGCUCUAUGUUGCAAGUCUAUGCAAUUUUGCAAAGCACGGAUGAUCAUUGUUUAAUUCUUGAGUUCCAUAAUAUAAAUAGUCUUUGCAAUUUAGCAAAGCUUUGAUGAGCAUUGUUUAAUUCUUGAGUUCCACAAUCGUAUAUGCAAUUUAAGCAAAGCUUUGAUGAGAAUUGUUUGAUACUUGAGUUCCACAUUAGAAGUCUACGCACUUUAGCAAAGCUUUAAUGAGCAUUGUUUAAUUCUAGAGUUCCACAAUAGAAGUUAUCUUCCCGAUUUAGCAAUGGUUUGAUGAGGAUUGUUUAAUUCUUUAGUACCACAAUAGAAGUCUAAGAAAUUUAAGCAAAGCUUUGAUAAGCAUUGUUUCAUUCUUGAGUUCCACGUUAGAAGUCUAUGAAAAUUUUCAAAGUAUUGAUGAGCAUUGUUUAAUUCUUGAGUUCCAUAAUAAAAGUUGUCUUCGCAAUUUAGCAAAGCUUUGAUGAGCAAUGUUUAAUUCUUAAGUUCCACAAUAGAAGUCUAUUCAAUUUAAGGAAACCUUUGUUGAGCAUUGUUUCAUUCUUGAGUUCCACAUUAGAUGUCUAUGCAAUUUAGCAAAGCUUUGAUUUGCAUUGUUUAAUUCUUGAGUUCCACAAUAGAUGCAGACUUUGCAAUUUAGCUAAGAUUUGAUGAGCAUUGAUAAAUUCUUGAGUUCCACAAUAGAAGUCUAUGCAAUUUAAGCAAAGCUUUGACGAACAUUGUUUCAUUCUUUAGUUCCACAUUAGAAGUCUAUGCAACUUAGCAAAGCUUUGAUGUGUAUUGGUUAAUUCUUGAGUUCCAUAGUAGAAGUAGUCUUCGCAAUUUAGCAAAGCUUUAAUGAGCAAUGUUUAAUUCUUAUGUUCCACAAUAGAAGUCUAUGCAAUUUAAGGAAAGCUUUGUUGAGCAUUGUUUCAUUCUUGAGUUCCACAUUAGAUGUAUAUGCAAUCUAGCAAAGCUUUGAUUUGCAUUGUUUAAUUCUUGAGCUCCACAAUAGAUGCAAACUUUGCAAUUUAGCUAAGAUUUGAUGAGCAUUGUUAAAUUCUUGAGUUCCACAUUAGAAGUCUAUGCAACUUAGCAAAGCUUUGAUGUGUAUUAGUUAAUUCUUGAGCUCCAUAGUAGAAGUAGUCUUCGCAAUUUAGAAAAUCUUUAAUCAACAUUGUUUAAUUCUUGAGUUCCACAAUUGAUGUGGUGUUUUAAGUUUAGCAAAGCUUUUAUGAGCAUUGUUUAAUUCUUGAGUUCCACAAUAGAAGUCUAUGCAAUUUACAAAGGUUUUGAUGAGCAUUGUUUAAUUCUUGAGAUCCACAUUACAAAUAGUCUGCGCUAUUUAGCAAAGCUUUCAUGAGUAUUGUUUAUAUAUUGAGUUCCACAAUAAAAGUCUAUGCAAUUUAAGCAAACCUUUGAUGAGCAUUCUUUCAUUCUUGAGUUCCACAUUAGAAGUCUACGCAAUUUUGCAAAUCUUUGAUGAGUAUUGUUUAAUUCUAGAGUUCCAUAAUAGAUGUAGUCUUCGCAAUUUAUUAAAGCUAUUAUGAGAAGCGUUUAAUUCUUAAGUUCCAUAAUAGAAAUCUAUGCAAUUUAAGCAAAGAUUUGUUGAGCAUUGUUUCAUUCUUGGGCUCUACGUUGCAAGUCUAUGCAAAUUUCGCAAUGCACUGAUGAGCAUUGUUUAACUCUUUAGUUCCAUAAUAUAAAUAGUCUUUGCAAUUUAGCAAAGCUUUGAUGAGCAUUGUUUAAUUCUUGAGUUCCACAAUCGUAUAUGCAAUUUAAUCAAAGCUUUGAUGAGCAAUGUUUGAUACUUGAGUUCCACAUUAGAAGUCUAUGCAAUUUAGCAAAGCUUUGAUGAGCAUUGUUUAAUUCUAGAGUUCCACAAUAGCAGUAAUCUUCCCAAUUUAGCAAUAAUUUGAUGAGGAUUGUUUAAUUUUUUAGUACCACAAUAGAAGUCUAAGCAAUUUAGGCAAAGCUUUCAUGAGCAUUGUUUCAUUCUUGAGUUCCACAUUAGAAGUCUAUGAAAUUUUUCAAAAUAUUGAUGAUCAUUGUUUAAUUCUUGAGUUCCACAAUAAAAGUUGUCUUCGCAAUUUAGCAAAGCUUUGAUGAGCAAUGUUUAAUUCUUAAGUUCCACAAUAGAAGUCUAUGCAAUUUAAGGAAAGCUUUGUUGAGCAUUGUUUCAUUCUUGAGGUCCACAUUAGAUGUCUAUGCAAUUUUGCAAAGCUUUGAUUUUCAUUGUUUAAUUCUUGAGUUCCACAAUAGAUGCAGACUUUGCAAUUUAGCUAAGAUUUAACGAGUAUUGUUAAAUUCUUGAGUUCCACAAUAGAAGUCUAUGAAAUUUAACCAAAGCUUUGACGAACAUUGUUUCAUUAUUUAGUUCCAUAUUAGAAGUCUAUGCAACUUAGCAAAUCUUUGAUGUGUAUUGGUUAAUUCUUGAGUUCCAUAGUAGAAGUAGUCUUCGCAAUUUAGCAAAGCUUUAAUCAGCAUUGUUUAAUUCUUGAGUUCCACAACUGAUGUGGUGUUUUAAGUUUAGCAAAGCUUUUAUGAGCAUUGUUUAAUUCUUGAGUUCCACAAUAGAAGUCUAUACAAUUUACAAAGGUUUUGAUGAGCAUUGUUUAAUUCUUGAGUUCCACAUUAGAAGUAGUCCUCGCUAUUUAGCAAAGCUUUCAUGAGUAUUGUUUAUAUAUUGAGUUCUACAAUAAAAGUCUAUGCAAUUUAAGCAAACCUUUGAUGAGCAUUCUUUCAUUCUUGAGUUCCACAUUAGAAGUCUACGCAAUUUUGCAAAUCUUUGAUGAGUAUUGUUUAAUUCUACAGUUCCAUAAUAGAUGUAGACUUCGCAAUUUAGCAAAGCUAUUAUGAGCAUGGUUUAAUUCUUAAGUUCCACAAUAGAUGUAUAUGCUAUUUAAGCAAAGCUUUGUUGAGCAUUCUUUCAUUCUUGGGCUCUACGUUGCAAGUCUAUGCAAUUUCGCAAAGCACUAAUGAGCAUUGUUUAAUUCUUGAGUUCCAUAAUAUAAUUAGUCUUUGCAAUUUAGCAAAGCUUUGAUGAGCAUGUUUAAUUCUAGAGUUCCACAAUCGUAUAUGCAAUUUAAGCAAAGCUUUGAUGAGCAUUCUUUGAUACUUGAGUUCCACAUCAGAAGUCAAUGCAAUUUAGCAAAGCUUUGAUGAGCAUUGUUUAUUUACAGCGUUCCACAAUAAAAGAAAUCUUCGCAAUUUAGCGAAGGUUUGAUGAGCAUUGUUUAAAUCUUUAGUUCCACAAUAGAAGUCUAAGCAAUUUAAGCAAAGAUUUGAUGAGCAUUGUUUCAUUUUGAGUUCUACAUUAGAAGUCUAUGCAAUUUUGGAAAGUUUCG
This 4848-nucleotide long non-coding RNA is filed under the name Lactuca sativa (garden lettuce). RNAcentral's name for it is "long non-coding RNA (LSAT_LNC010244)". The record is from RNAcentral. Lineage: Eukaryota; Viridiplantae; Streptophyta; Magnoliopsida; Asterales; Asteraceae.